Molecule: long non-coding RNA, 508 nt
Organism: Bombina bombina (fire-bellied toad)
Lineage: Eukaryota; Metazoa; Chordata; Amphibia; Anura; Bombinatoridae
Exons: 4
Source: RefSeq, a predicted model, not a curated record
UGCAUUGUUGUAAAAAUGAUUACAUAUUUAGCCUGAUACUCUUAUUCAGCAGCUUGCUAAUUUGUGCUAUGUGAUAUAGCUGUUUGAAUAAUACUUUCUCCUCAAGUAUCCCUCAAACUUUCUUUUGUAUUAAAUGGGUUUAUUUAACCCCUAGGCUACCAGAAUGAGAUGAUUCAGAGGGUUAAUGAUCUGGAAUAAACAAGUACUCACAGAAUGCUGAAAUAUUGUAACACAAGACGACCAGAUGAGGAGAAUCUAACAGAUAACACAGCAGUGAGAGGGAGAUACAGCAUGUCGCCAGAUUGCAGAGGAUCACCUGCACUGGACAAAGUGGUAUAUCUGGGAACCAAGAUGUAACUGUGGAAAGAUAUGAAAAGACAAAGAAAAACUGUGUAAGAUCCUCUAGUGAGAACAUCUUUUAUAGCCUGCUGUUUAUGGUAACUACAGGAAAGGUCUAGCAACGCAUUCUUAUGUGUAUAACACUCACUGAACAAGAGGUUAAAGCACC